UCAGUCCAUGGAAACCAGACUGAGGGGAGUCAGAGGGAUCUUGUAAUAAAUUAGAGGACACUCGUUACCUGCUUCCAAGGGGCAUUGUCAGAAUAGAAGCAGCACUGGCUAAAGCACUGUUCCCGGAAAGAGAACAGGAUGAAAAUAAGGCAUCCAGGAGCCCAGCUGGAGCUGUUGAACCUUCAGGAGCUCGAGCGAGUUGCUGGAGGGAACUCGGGCCAUCUGUCCUGCUGCUGGAGAGGAGGAGUCUGGCCGGCUGGCAGCGACCUUAAGCCGUGAGCAAAUCGGCAGUGGGACGUGGAAGGCUUAGUGAGGAAUCUCAUGCUGAAUCGCAGGCCAUCACGG
This is a long non-coding RNA of Columba livia (rock pigeon), 345 nucleotides long. RefSeq lists it as uncharacterized. The record is from RefSeq and is a predicted model, not a curated record. The transcript is spliced from 3 exons. NCBI's taxonomy places the organism in Eukaryota, Metazoa, Chordata, Aves, Columbiformes, Columbidae.